UACGUAGGGGGCUAGCGUUGCUCGGAAUCACUGGGCGUAAAGCGCACGUAGGCGGAUUGUUAAGUCAGGGGUGAAAUCCUGGAGCUCAACUCCAGAACUGCCUUUGAUACUGGCGAUCUUGAGUCCGGGAGAGGUGAGUGGAACUCCGAGUGUAGAGGUGAAAUUCGUAGAUAUUCGGAAGAACACCAGUGGCGAAGGCGGCUCACUGGCCCGGUACUGACGCUGAUGUGCGAAAGCGUGGGGAGCAAACAGG
This 253-nucleotide ribosomal RNA is filed under the name uncultured bacterium. RNAcentral describes it as "partial 16S ribosomal RNA". It matches the Rfam family "Bacterial small subunit ribosomal RNA", at positions 524 to 776 of the family's 1533-position model. The record is from RNAcentral.